GUCAAGAUAGCUCAAUUGGUAGAGCAGAGGACAAAAUCCUCGUGUCACCAGUUCAAAUUUGGUUCCUGGCA
RNAcentral lists this transfer RNA (71 nucleotides) under Gossypium barbadense (sea-island cotton). It matches the Rfam family "tRNA". From Rfam's summary of the family: Transfer RNA (tRNA) molecules are approximately 80 nucleotides in length. Their secondary structure includes four short double-helical elements and three loops (D, anti-codon, and T loops). Further hydrogen bonds mediate the characteristic L-shaped molecular structure. tRNAs have two regions of fundamental functional importance: the anti-codon, which is responsible for specific mRNA codon recognition, and the 3' end, to which the tRNAs corresponding amino acid is attached (by aminoacyl-tRNA synthetases). tRNAs cope with the degeneracy of the genetic code in two manners: having more than one tRNA (with a specific anti-codon) for a particular amino acid; and 'wobble' base-pairing, i.e. permitting non-standard base-pairing at the 3rd anti-codon position. RNAcentral also lists the same sequence under 1 other name. The record is from Rfam by way of RNAcentral. Lineage: Eukaryota; Viridiplantae; Streptophyta; Magnoliopsida; Malvales; Malvaceae.